Molecule: long non-coding RNA, 997 nt
Filed under: Homo sapiens (human)
Lineage: Eukaryota; Metazoa; Chordata; Mammalia; Primates; Hominidae
Description: HSALNT0356292
Source: RNAcentral
GUCAAACUCCCCAUCCCCAGGAAAUGGAAUCCAAGUUAAAGACGUGUGUGCAGGUGGCUUAUUGGAAGGUGAAGCAAACAGGGCCCUUGGAUUCAGACUGAAUUGAUAUCGCCAGGUUUCCUGUCUUUUCAGCUUGCAGGCAGCUGAUUGUGGGACUUCUCAGCCUCCUUAAUCAUAUUUUCUUAUCAUUGGCCUUCAACAUUUUUAUCAGGAUAUAUCUGUGUAUAUUGCAGAUUUUACAAAUUGAAGGUUUGUGACAACUCCCUCAAGGAAGUCUGUUGGUGUUAUUUUUCCAACAGCAGGUACUCACUUCAUGUCUCUGUGUCACAUUUUGGCCUUUAAACCAAGAGAAGACAUACCUGAGCAAUUGAACCAGAAGGGAUGAGCCCCACCUGGAUCUGAUGCAGAUUAAAAUAUCUUGGACCUUGGGCCUGAGCUUGGAAUGGAAUGAGACCUUUGAGGAUCUUAGUGGGGAAUCCCCUUGUCAUAAAACCAAUGCAUAAGAUACAACUGCAUCCAAUGUAUUCCAGGGAAAGAUUCUCUGCAGAUGACUCAAGGAAAGCCACAGGAGCAACAGGGAAACUGAAAGAACAAAUAUCACAGUUGAUUCAGAAGGGCAGCCCCACAUUUUUAAGUGAUACCCAACCAUUGUGAACAAGCUCUGUCAACACCAUCUGCUCCACAAAGGAAAGUUGCUGAUUAUUGCAUCUCUAAGUGGAGUCGGUUCUCUCCCACGAUAGCAGAAGGCUUUCACAUUCACUAUACUGUUAUGGACAUGGAGGAUGGGAACCAUUGCUUUGUUUACUCUGCAACUUCUUAAUUAUAUCACAAAAGACUCGACACAUAAGCAGUAUCCAGAAAAGCAAGUCGACUACAUAAAAAUCAAUGCAUGAUUGUCUAUAGCCUUUGACAUACUAGGACCAGUCAAGAUAUGUGUGGAGGGUAAUGAAGAAUGGGCAAAUACCAGAGAAAAGACAGCUGAGUGUCCAUGAUAAAG